RNAcentral lists this ribosomal RNA (328 nucleotides) under uncultured eukaryote. Its description in RNAcentral is "partial 18S ribosomal RNA". It matches the Rfam family "Eukaryotic small subunit ribosomal RNA", at positions 1470 to 1796 of the family's 1831-position model. The record is from RNAcentral.
CCCUUAGAUGUCCUGGGCUGCACGCGCGCUACACUGAAGGAAUCAGCGUGCUAAAACCAUUGUCGAAAGGCAUUGGUAAACCCAUUAAAAUCCUACGUGAUUGGGAUCGGGAAUUGCAAUUAUUUCCCUUGAACGAGGAAUUCCCAGUAAGUGUGGGUCAUAAGCUCGCGUUGAUUACGUCCCUGCCCUUUGUACACACCGCCCGUCGCUGCCCGGGACUGAGCCGUUUCGAGAAAAGCGGGGACUGCUGCUGUCGGGGCUUUCGGGCCUUGGCUUCGGUGGAAACCGCUUUAAUCGCANUNGCUUGANCCGGGCAAAANUCGUANCA